CUUUGCCUCACCUUUCCAGCAUCUCUGCUCUUGGCUCUCAGCUUGUUGACCUGGGACUCAGCGAUGUCAGCACGCUCCUGAGCUUCCUCCAGCUCGUGCUGCACUUUCCUGUACCUGGACAGGUAGUGAAGAUUACUUCAAGGGCACUGAAGUAGUAUGCUGAUCCAGCUUCCUGUUGUCCAUCAUCUGGAUCACCAUUCGAGCCCGCAUUAACAGUUUUACAAAAAUGAAUUCUAAGUGUACAACUCUUGGUAUGGGAAGUACAGAAGAACCUCGACAGCUGUGUUUUCACUUCAGCUCUUUUAAUUUCUCUGGCGUCUCAGGGUUAACCCUUUCCCUGUCCCCUUCAGUGUAAGACGUCUGGACAACUAUUUUGGAUAUUCAGGUUGAUGGACUGCACGAUUUCUCACAGGUUCUUGUCAUGUCUCACCAGUUGCUCUUCCACGUGUGUCGGACAUCUGGGUCGUGGAUGCCAUGUUUGUCUGCCUGCUCAUCCAGGAAGUCGAACAUGUAUUUGAUGGCAAGCGGGAGCGCGCUGCCCCGAUUCACCGUGCUGAAAAGUGUCUCAAACAGAUCAUCCACAAACUUCUGCAAUGUGCCCUGUAGGAACACACAGAACAGGUCAUUAGAAAUCGGUAUACUCUGUGUGUGUGUGUUUGUGGUUUGUGUGUUUGACCUUGGUGGCCAGAAGGCGGGUCAGGUAGAUCUCAGACACCAUCUUGCUGCCGCGCUCAGCUUCUUUUUGGUCUCCGUGUUCAUGGUUUUUGACCAGAUGCCAAACUUUAACACCACUCUCCAGAUCCGGAGUGAUCAUCGGCACACGGGAACGUGAGAACUCCGGACUGCCCGCUGACAUGGAGCGAAGGACUGCAUCUGAGAGACCGAGGGAGGGAGAGAGGGAGAGACAGAGAGUGACCUCUAAGACCACUAAUGUGUAUCUGGAAUUUUGGGGAGGGCAAAGCUGAAAAGAGUUAACUUUAGUGAAUAAUUUCUCACAAAAAAUCUCAUCAAGAGGUGCAGAUUACCAAAGAACUGCUUUAGUAAAGAACAU
Neoarius graeffei (lesser salmon catfish) is the source of this 1051-nucleotide long non-coding RNA. RefSeq lists it as uncharacterized. NCBI's taxonomy places the organism in Eukaryota, Metazoa, Chordata, Actinopteri, Siluriformes, Ariidae. The transcript has 4 exons. The record is from RefSeq and is a predicted model, not a curated record.